ACGGAGCAAGAACUAACAAGGAUUCCCCUAGUAACUGCGAGUGAAGCGGGAAGAGCUCAAAUUUAAAAUCUGGCAGUCUCUGGCUGUCCGAGUUGUAAUUUAGAGAAGUGUUGCCCGCGCUGGACCGUAUACAAGUCCUCUGGAAUGAGGCGUCAUAGAGGGUGAGAAUCCCGUCUUUGAUACGGACUACCAGUGCUUUGUGGUGCGCUCUCGAAGAGUCGAGUUGUUUGGGAAUGCAGCUCAAAAUGGGUGGUAAAUUCCAUCUAAAGCUAAAUAUAGGCGAGAGACCGAUAGCGAACAAGUACCGUGAGGGAAAGAUGAAAAGAACUUUGGAAAGAGAGUUAAACAGUACGUGAAAUUGCUGAAAGGGAAACGCUUGAAGUCAGUCGCGUCGUUCAAGAAUCAACCUUGCUUUUGCUUGGUGUACUUUUUGUUCGACGGGUCAGCAUCAGUUUUGACCAUUGGAUAAGGGCCAAGGAAAUGUGGCAUCUUCGGAUGUGUUAUAGUCUUUGGUCGUAUACAGUGGUUGGGACUGAGGAACUCAGCACGCCGCAAGGACGGGUCUUUGACUACGUUACGUGCUUAGGAUGCUGGCAUAAUGGCUUUAAUCGACCCGUCUUGAAACACGGACCAAGGAGUCUAACAUGCCUGCGAGUGUUUGGGUGGAAAACCCGAGCGCGCAAUGAAAGUGAAAGUUGAGAUCUCUGUCAUGGAGAGCAUCGACGCCCAUACCUGAUGUUUACUGACGGAUAUGCGGUAGAGCAUGUAUGUUGGGACCCGAAAGAUGGUGAACUAUGCCUGAAUAGGGUGAAGCCAGAGGAAACUCUGGUGGAGGCUCGUAGCGAUUCUGACGUGCAAAUCGAUCGUCGAAUUUGGGGUAUAGGGGGCGAAAG
This 893-nucleotide ribosomal RNA is filed under the name Gerronema nemorale. Its description in RNAcentral is "partial large subunit ribosomal RNA". It matches the Rfam family "Eukaryotic large subunit ribosomal RNA", at positions 50 to 929 of the family's 3401-position model. The record is from RNAcentral. Lineage: Eukaryota; Fungi; Basidiomycota; Agaricomycetes; Agaricales; Porotheleaceae.